This 320-nucleotide ribosomal RNA is filed under the name uncultured eukaryote. Its description in RNAcentral is "partial 18S ribosomal RNA". It matches the Rfam family "Eukaryotic small subunit ribosomal RNA", at positions 1470 to 1796 of the family's 1831-position model. The record is from RNAcentral.
CCCCUAGAUGUUCUGGGCCGCACGCGCGCUACACUGAACAGUUCAACAAGUCUUAACCUUGGCCGAUAGGUCUGGGUAAUCUUUGAACGCUGUUCGUGAUUGGGAUAGACCUUUGCAAUUAUGGGUCUUCAACGAGGAAUUCCUGGUAAACGCAAGUCAUCAGCUUGCAUUGAUUACGUCCCUGCCCUUUGUACACACCGCCCGUCGCACCUACCGAUUGAAUGGUCCGGUGAAAUCUCGGGACGGCGGCUCGGUCGCUUGCGUCCGACUGCUGAAACUUGAUUAAACCAUAUCAUUUAGAGGAAGGUGAAGUCGUAACA